This 475-nucleotide ribosomal RNA is filed under the name uncultured bacterium. RNAcentral's name for it is "SSU rRNA". It matches the Rfam family "Bacterial small subunit ribosomal RNA", at positions 26 to 523 of the family's 1533-position model. The record is from RNAcentral.
AGGACGAACGCUGGCGGCGUGCUUAACACAUGCAAGUCGAACGGAAAGGCCCUUCGGGGUACUCGAGUGGCGAACGGGUGAGUAACACGUGGGUGAUCUGCCCUGCACUUUGGGAUAAGCCUGGGAAACUGGGUCUAAUACCGAAUAGGACCACGGCAUGCAUGUGCUGUGGUGGAAAGCUUUUGCGGUGUGGGAUGGGCCCGCGGCCUAUCAGCUUGUUGGUGGGGUGAUGGCCUACCAAGGCGACGACGGGUAGCCGGCCUGAGAGGGUGUCCGGCCACACUGGGACUGAGAUACGGCCCAGACUCCUACGGGAGGCAGCAGUGGGGAAUAUUGCACAAUGGGCGCAAGCCUGAUGCAGCGACGCCGCGUGGGGAUGACGGCCUUCGGUUGUAACCCUUCAGUAGGGACGAAGCGCAAGUGACGGUACCUACAGAAGAAGCACCGGCCAACUACGCGCCAGCAGCCGCGGUAA